Molecule: ribosomal RNA, 498 nt
Filed under: uncultured bacterium
Lineage: Bacteria
Description: partial 16S ribosomal RNA
Rfam family: Bacterial small subunit ribosomal RNA
Source: RNAcentral
ACGAACGCUGGCGGCGUGCCUCAUACAUGCAAGUCGAGCGAAGUUUUUCUGGUGCUUGCACCGGAAAAACUUAGCGGCGAACGGGUGAGUAACACGUAAAGAACCUGCCUCAUAGACUGGGACAACUAUUGGAAACGAUAGCUAAUACCGGAUAAUAGCAUUAACUGCAUGGUUGAUGUUUAAAAGUUGGUUUUGCUAACACUAUGAGAUGGCUUUGCGGUGCAUUAGCUAGUUGGUGGGGUAAAGGCCUACCAAGGCGACGAUGCAUAGCCGACCUGAGAGGGUGAUCGGCCACACUGGGACUGAGACACGGCCCAGACUCCUACGGGAGGCAGCAGUAGGGAAUCUUCCGCAAUGGGCGAAAGCCUGACGGAGCAACGCCGCGUGAGUGAAGAAGGAUUUCGGUUCGUAAAGCUCUGUUGUUAGGGAAGAAUGAUUGUGUAGUAACUAUACACAGUAGAGACGGUACCUAACCAGAAAGCCACGGCUAACUACGUG